AUAAAAUCAUGACAAUAAUGUAAUUUUGAACAAACGAAAUUUUUACGUUUUCCUUUUUUUUCCUUCACCCACCCACAUUAAAGCUAACAUAUCUCUAAAUUUUUAAACUUGUUUCCAUUUCUCUCUCUCACAUUUCUCUAGAACUUCUCUACCUUCCCUAUAUUUUCCAACCAAAAAAAAAAAAAAUCUUGUAUAUUUACGCUCACAUUUUGUUUCAUCUACUGUUUAUAUAUUAACCAAGAAAAAAUAAAUUCUCCAGCUCGUCGAGAGCUCUCUCUCCAACUCGUCGAGCUCUCUCCCUCCAACUUGUCGAGCUCUCUCCCAUGGCUUUUCCGUCGAUUUUGAUAUGUAGAAGCUACGAUUUCAGAGAUAUUCUACUUUCAAUACAAUUUCGACUCGUUUCCCACUAGUCCAGUCCGAAUUCGAUCUGCAGAGGACUCUGUUAGGGUUUUGGUCUGUUGAGAUCCGAGAGAUUUGAGGUUGCGAUUUCGAAUAUUGGAGCUUCGAGUUCAGAGGUUUGAGACUGCGAUUUUGAAUAUUGGAAGCUACGAUUUCAUAAUUUUGAGGCUGCGAUUUCUGGUGGUUAAUACAUUGUUGAGGAGGCAAUAUCCUAUUGAUUCAACGUUAUCCUUCAAUGUCAGUUCAAAGUUACAAGUAAACUGAGGUAUGCAAAGGGUGUACGUGUUAACUACUAGUGCAGAUGUUCUCUUCCGAUUCUCAUGGUAACAUUUUUCAAGUUAGUUCACGUAGAAGAGUUGUGAGUCAUAUAGGUGUUGCUUGAGCAUUGCGGUCAAACUCAUAGAGGAGUAUGAUGGUGGGUUAAGGUGAGUGAAAGAAGGGAAACAAAUAUGAAAUAGUUUACAAAGUAAAUAAUUUAUGUUGGAGGUAGAUAAAUUGGGGUGAAACGAAUAGUUCUUUUUAGGUUUUAUCAACUCUGUCUACUUCUGUGGUAUAUGAAUAUGAAGUAUGUUUUCCUUCCAUUGUUGUUUGUUUGAACUAAUUAGAAUUUGGUUUUGUUAGUCGAGGGAUGUGACUUGCUCACUCACGGUCACAGAUAUCUUUAGGAUACAAAUGUGGCUUUUGUUUUUGUAAUAACUAGCCACCUACAAAUGAAUUCUUUGUUUCUGCCGAUUGAAAACUAAUAUUAUAUUACUGAGAAAAGCAAAUGUUGGAGAAGCUUUUCUCCAUUGCUGGCAUUUGAGGACUGAAUUGGAAGUUCCUAGAUGGUUAUUUGGAAGUCCGUUGUUCAUGUUUUUUUCAUAAUAAUGUACAAACCAGCUUAGCUCGGUAGAUUUCGAUUGAUAUCAACUUUGAGUUGAUUUGUAGAUGACUUUAUCUGGUAGAAACGACUUUCCAUUGAUUUGAUUAGCUUUAUGAUAUUUCCGUUUUUUAUUGGUGAUAUUUUUAGAUUUAGGAAAGAUAAAAGCAAGUGUAAGUGAUAGAAUGGAAGAUAUUAGUCUUUGAUUUGAAGUUGUGAUUAGUAGAUUUUUGUUA
Molecule: long non-coding RNA, 1494 nt
Organism: Malus domestica (apple)
Lineage: Eukaryota; Viridiplantae; Streptophyta; Magnoliopsida; Rosales; Rosaceae
Source: RefSeq, a predicted model, not a curated record